Molecule: long non-coding RNA, 315 nt
Filed under: Nicotiana tabacum (common tobacco)
Lineage: Eukaryota; Viridiplantae; Streptophyta; Magnoliopsida; Solanales; Solanaceae
Description: long non-coding RNA (NTAB_LNC016839)
Source: RNAcentral
AAAGGUUGAUGGAAAAGAAAAUGCUGCAGACCCAUUCACUAAAGCUCUUGGCGCAAAGGAGUUUGACAAGCACAAGUGGAAAUUGGGAAUGAAGUACAAGAGCGAUUGGCUCUAGUGCAAGUGGGAGAUUGUUAGGGAUAUAGUAGAUAUGCCCUAGAUCCAAUAUCACAUUUGAUGUUUUGAACAUAUUUUUAUAAAAUAUAUAUGGCAUUUGAUAUUCUUUUAUCAUUGUUAUUAAUUGCUUGAUUAAUUUGAUAAGGUCCUUGAUUAAAUUUUGAGACUUGACAUUAUGAUGGAGAUCAUGAUAAUGAGAGU